GAUGAACGCUGGCGGCGUGCCUAAUACAUGCAAGUCGAGCGAACGGACGAGAAGCUUGCUUCUCUGAUGUUAGCGGCGGACGGGUGAGUAACACGUGGAUAACCUACCUAUAAGACUGGGAUAACUUCGGGAAACCGGAGCUAAUACCGGAUGAUAUUUUGAACCGCAUGGUUCAAAAGUGAAAGACGGUCUUGCUGUCACUUAUAGAUGGAUCCGCGCUGCAUUAGCUAGUUGGUAAGGUAACGGCUUACCAAGGCAACGAUGCAUAGCCGACCUGAGAGGGUGAUCGGCCACACUGGAACGGAGACACGGUCCAGACUCCUACGGGAGGCAGCAGUAGGGAAUCUUCCGCAAAGGGCGAAAGCCUGACGGAGCAACGCCGCGUGAGUGAUGAAGGUCUUCGGAUCGUAAAACUCUGUUAUUAGGGAAGAACAUAUGUGUAAGUAACUGUGCACAUCUUGACGGUACCUAAUCAGAAAGCCACGGCUAACUACGUG
This 497-nucleotide ribosomal RNA is filed under the name uncultured bacterium. RNAcentral's name for it is "partial 16S ribosomal RNA". It matches the Rfam family "Bacterial small subunit ribosomal RNA", at positions 28 to 507 of the family's 1533-position model. The record is from RNAcentral.